GAGUUUGAUCAUGGCUCAGAUUGAACGCUGGCGGCAGGCUUAACACAUGCAAGUCGAGCGGUAGCACAAGAGAGCUCGCUCUCUGGGUGACUAGCGGCGGACGGGUGAGUAAUGUCUGGGAAACUGCCUGAUGGAGGGGGAUAACUACUGGAAACGGUAGCUAAUACCGCAUAACGUCGCAAGACCAAAGAGGGGGACCUUCGGGCCUCUUGCCAUCAGAUGUGCCCAGAUGGGAUUAGCUAGUAGGUGGGGUAAUGGCUCACCUAGGCGACGAUCCCUAGCUGGUCUGAGAGGAUGACCAGCCACACUGGAACUGAGACACGGUCCAGACUCCUACGGGAGGCAGCAGUGGGGAAUAUUGCACAAUGGGCGCAAGCCUGAUGCACCAUGCCGCGUGUGUGAAGAAGCCUUCGGGUUGUAAAGCACUUUCAGCGAGGAAGAA
RNAcentral lists this ribosomal RNA (442 nucleotides) under uncultured Serratia sp. RNAcentral describes it as "bacterial SSU rRNA". It matches the Rfam family "Bacterial small subunit ribosomal RNA", at positions 9 to 449 of the family's 1533-position model. The record is from RNAcentral. Lineage: Bacteria; Pseudomonadati; Pseudomonadota; Gammaproteobacteria; Enterobacterales; Yersiniaceae.